CGUAUAUUUAAGUUGUUGCAGUUAAAAAGCUCGUAGUCGGAUUUUGGCUGAGAACGAACGGUCCGCCGUUAGGUGUGCACUGUUUGGUCUCAGCUUCCUGGUGAGGAGGUGUGCUUCACGGCCACUUAGUCACCGUGGUUACUUUGAAAAAAUUAGAGUGUUCAAAGCGGGCUUACGCUUGAAUAUAUUAGCAUGGAAUAACACCAUAGGACUCCUGUCCUAUUUCGUUGGUCUCGGGACGGGAGUAAUGAUUAAGAGGAACAGUUGGGGGCAUUCGUAUUUCAUUGUCAGAGGUGAAAUUCUUGGAUUUAUGAAAGACGAACUUCUGCGAAAGCAUUUGCCAAGGAUGUUUUCAUUGAUCAAGAACGAAAGUUGGGGGCUCGAAGAUGAUUAGAUACCAUCCUAGUCUCAACCAUAAACGAUGCCGACUAGGGAUUGGCGGAUGUUAAUUGAUGACUUCGCCAGCACCUUAUGAGAAAUCAAAGUUUUUGGGUUCCGGGGGGAGUAUGGUCGCAAGGCUGAAACUUAAAGGAAUUGACGGAAGGG
This 546-nucleotide ribosomal RNA is filed under the name uncultured eukaryote. RNAcentral's name for it is "SSU rRNA". It matches the Rfam family "Eukaryotic small subunit ribosomal RNA", at positions 598 to 1164 of the family's 1831-position model. The record is from RNAcentral.